GAACGCUGGCGGCGUGCCUAAUACAUGCAAGUCGAGCGAACAGAUGAGGAGCUUGCUCCUCUGACGUUAGCGGCGGACGGGUGAGUAACACGUGGAUAACCUACCUAUAAGACUGGGAUAACUUCGGGAAACCGGAGCUAAUACCGGAUAAUAUAUUGAACCGCAUGGUUCAAUAGUGAAAGACGGUUUUGCUGUCACUUAUAGAUGGAUCCGCGCCGCAUUAGCUAGUUGGUAAGGUAACGGCUUACCAAGGCAACGAUGCGUAGCCGACCUGAGAGGGUGAUCGGCCACACUGGAACUGGGACACGGUCCAGACUCCUACGGGAGGCAGCAGUAGGGAAUCUUCCGCAAUGGGCGAAAGCCUGACGGAGCAACGCCGCGUGAGUGAUGAAGGUCUUCGGAUCGUAAAACUCUGUUAUUAGGGAAGAACAAAUGUGUAAGUAACUAUGCACGUCUUGACGGUACCUAAUCAGAAAGCCACGGCUAACUACGUG
This 494-nucleotide ribosomal RNA is filed under the name uncultured bacterium. RNAcentral's name for it is "partial 16S ribosomal RNA". It matches the Rfam family "Bacterial small subunit ribosomal RNA", at positions 31 to 507 of the family's 1533-position model. The record is from RNAcentral.